RNAcentral lists this signal recognition particle RNA (296 nucleotides) under Neogobius melanostomus (round goby). Its description in RNAcentral is "Metazoan signal recognition particle RNA (ENSNMLG00000001192.1)". It matches the Rfam family "Metazoan signal recognition particle RNA". From Rfam's summary of the family: The signal recognition particle (SRP) is a universally conserved ribonucleoprotein. It is involved in the co-translational targeting of proteins to membranes. Lineage: Eukaryota; Metazoa; Chordata; Actinopteri; Gobiiformes; Gobiidae. The record is from Rfam by way of RNAcentral.
GCCGGGUGCGGUGGCGUGUGCCUGUAAUCCAAGUUACUUGGAGGCUGAGACUGGUGGAUCGUUUGAGCUCAGGAUCUCUGAGCUACAGUGACUAUGUCGAUCGGUUGUCCCAUAAGUUCGGUAUCGAUAUGGUGCUCCUGGGGGAGGCCGGGACCACCAGGUCGUCUAAGGAGGGGUGCACCGGCCCAGGUCGGAAACGGAGCAGGCCAAAGCCCCCGUGCUGCUCAGUAGUGGGAUCGCGCCUGUGAAUAGAGGCUGUAGUGAAGCCUGAGUAAUACAGCGGGACCCAGUCUUUU